GACGAACGCUGGCGGCGUGCUUAACACAUGCAAGUCGAACGGAAAGGCCCUGCUUUUGUGGGGUGCUCGAGUGGCGAACGGGGGAGUAACACGUGAGUAACCUGCCCUGGACUUUGGGAUAACUUCAGGAAACUGGGGCUAAUACCGGAUAGGAGCUCCUGCUGCAUGGUGGGGGUUGGAAAGUUUCGGCGGUUGGGGAUGGACUCGCGGCUUAUCAGCUUGUUGGUGGGGUAGUGGCUUACCAAGGCUUUGACGGGUAGCCGGCCUGAGAGGGUGACCGGCCACAUUGGGACUGAGAUACGGCCCAGACUCCUACGGGAGGCAGCAGUGGGGAAUAUUGCACAAUGGGCGGAAGCCUGAUGCAGCAACGCCGCGUGCGGGAUGACGGCCUUCGGGUUGUAAACCGCUUUCGCCUGUGACGAAGCGUGAGUGACGGUAAUGGGUAAAGAAGCACCGGCUAACUACGUG
Molecule: ribosomal RNA, 468 nt
Filed under: uncultured bacterium
Lineage: Bacteria
Description: partial 16S ribosomal RNA
Rfam family: Bacterial small subunit ribosomal RNA
Source: RNAcentral